This 24-nucleotide small nuclear RNA is filed under the name Arabidopsis thaliana (thale cress). RNAcentral's name for it is "snRNA_18437". Lineage: Eukaryota; Viridiplantae; Streptophyta; Magnoliopsida; Brassicales; Brassicaceae. The record is from RNAcentral.
GUAUACCAUCUUAUAUUAAUAUCA